Molecule: ribosomal RNA, 1127 nt
Filed under: Holothuria atra
Lineage: Eukaryota; Metazoa; Echinodermata; Holothuroidea; Aspidochirotida; Holothuriidae
Description: SSU rRNA
Rfam family: Eukaryotic small subunit ribosomal RNA
Source: RNAcentral
AUUAACCGAGAAACUGCAGAUGGCUCAUUAGAUCAGUUAUGGUUCAUUGGAGCCAGUUCACGACCAUGGAUAACUGUGGUAAUUCUAGAGCUAAUACAUGCAUCUAAGCGCCGACCCUUCGGGGGAAGCGUGCUUUUAUUAGGAACAAGGCCAGCCCGGUGUCUCGCUUCGGCGUGCCCGGUCUCCGCUGGUGAACUCUAGAUAACCCAGCCGAUCGCACGGUCUCGCACCGGCGACGCUCCCUUCAAAUGUCUGCUCUAUCAACUGUCGAUGGUACGUUAUGCGCUUAUCAUGGUAGUGACGGGUAACGGAGAAUCAGGGUUCGAUUCCGGAGAGGGAGCCUGAGAAACGGCUACCACAUCCAAGGAAGGCAGCAGGCACGCAAAUUACCCACUCCUGACACGGGGAGGUAGUGACAAAAAAUAACGAUACAGGCCUCUUCGGAGGCCCUGUGAUCGGAAUGAGUACACUUUAAAUCCUUUAACGAGGAUCUACUGGAGGGCAAGUCUGGUGCCAGCAGCCGCGGUAAUUCCAGCUCCAGCAGCGUAUAUUAAAUUUGCUGCAGUUAAAAAGCUCGUAGUCGGAUGUCUGGUCGGGGCGGGUGGUCCGCCGCGAGGCGAGCACUGCCCGUUCCCGUGUGCCGUCCCUCUGUUCGGCGUCCUCGUCGGCGGAGCGGGCGGGCGGGAGUUUGAUCCCGGCCAGUCCUCCGGUUGGUCGUGCGGUGCUCUUAGCUGAGUGCCGUGCGAGACUGGAACGUUUACUUUGAGAAAAUUGGAGUGUUCAAAGCAGGCCCAAGUGCCCGAACAGCUCAGCAUGGAAUAGUGGAACAGGACCUCGGUUCUAUUUCGUUGGUCUUUAGAUCCAGAGGUAAUGAUCAAGAGGGACUGCCGGGGGCAUUCGUAUUGCGGCGUGAGAGGUGAAAUUCUUGGAUCGUCGCAAGACGCCCGACAGCGAAAGCAUUUGCCAAGAAUGUCUUCAUUGAUCAAGAACGAAAGUCGGAGGAUCGAAGGCGAUCAGAUACCGCCCUAGUUCCGACCAUAAACGAUACCAACUCGUAAUUCGCCGGCGUUCCUCCCAUGACGCGGCGGGCAACUCUCCGGAAAACCAAAGUCUUUGGUUCCGGGGAA